AACGCACAUUGCGCCUAUUAGCAUUCUAGUAGGCAUGCCUGUUCGAGCGUCAUUUCAACCCUUAAGCCCCCGUUGCUUAGCGUUGGGAGUCUACGGGCCGUAGUUCCCUAAAAUCAGUGGCGGAGUCGGUCUCGCACUCCGGACGUAGUAGAUCAUAUCUCGUCCGUGGUUGGGCCGGCGCCCUGCCGUAAAAAGCACCUAUAUUCUUCAAGGUUGACCUCGGAUCAGGUAGGAAUACCCGCUGAACUUAA
RNAcentral lists this unclassified non-coding RNA (251 nucleotides) under uncultured Xylariales. RNAcentral describes it as "sequence contains 5.8S rRNA gene, ITS2, 28S rRNA gene". Lineage: Eukaryota; Fungi; Ascomycota; Sordariomycetes; Xylariales. The record is from RNAcentral.